This 342-nucleotide unclassified non-coding RNA is filed under the name soil metagenome. RNAcentral describes it as "partial contains 5.8S ribosomal RNA, internal transcribed spacer 2, and large subunit ribosomal RNA". The stretch from base 1 to 120 matches the Rfam family "5.8S ribosomal RNA", at positions 35 to 154 of the family's 154-position model. The record is from RNAcentral.
GAUGAAGAACGCAGCGAAAUGCGAUAAGUAAUGUGAAUUGCAGAAUUCAGUGAAUCAUCGAAUCUUUGAACGCACAUUGCGCCCGCCAGCACUCUGGCGGGCAUGCCUGUACGAGCGUCAUUUCAACCAUCAAGCCCCCAGGGGCUUGUGCUGGGGCCCUGCGGCUGCCCGCAGGCCCUGAAAACCAGUGGCGGGCUCGCUAGUCACACCGAGCGCAGUAGCACAUCUCGCUCAGGGCGUGCGGCGGGCUCCUGCCGUGAAACCCCCCACUGUAACCCCAAAGGUUGACCUCGGAUCAGGUAGGAAUACCCGCUGAACUUAAGCAUAUCAAUAAGCGGAGGA